This 348-nucleotide unclassified non-coding RNA is filed under the name uncultured Agaricales. RNAcentral's name for it is "sequence contains ITS1". The stretch from base 1 to 105 matches the Rfam family "5.8S ribosomal RNA", at positions 50 to 154 of the family's 154-position model. Lineage: Eukaryota; Fungi; Basidiomycota; Agaricomycetes; Agaricales. The record is from RNAcentral.
GAAAUGCGAUAAGUAAUGUGAAUUGCAGAAUUCAGUGAAUCAUCGAAUCUUUGAACGCACCUUGCACCCUUUGGUAUUCCGAAGGGUAUGCCUGUUUGAGUGUCAUUAAAUUCUCAACCAUUGAACUUGUUUCUUUGGCUUGGAUGUGGGGGUUGCCGGCUUUGCAAAGAAGUCGGCUCUCCUUAAAUGCAUUAGUGGAAACCGCUUGCAGGAUUCAUUCACUUUUUGGCGUGAUAGUAUCGUCGUCAUAAAGGUCAUGUCUCCGAGGUAUCUGCUCUCUAACUGUCCGAAAGGACUCUUAAUGACUUGUUUGACCUCAAAUCAGGUAGGACUACCCGCUGAACUUAA